RNAcentral lists this ribosomal RNA (254 nucleotides) under uncultured bacterium. RNAcentral describes it as "partial 16S ribosomal RNA". It matches the Rfam family "Bacterial small subunit ribosomal RNA", at positions 524 to 776 of the family's 1533-position model. The record is from RNAcentral.
UACGUAGGGUGCGAGCGUUGUCCGGAAUUAUUGGGCGUAAAGGGCUCGUAGGCGGUCUGUUGCGUCAGGAGUGAAAACUCGGGGCUUAACCCCGAGCCUGCUUCUGAUACGGGCAGACUAGAGGUAUGCAGGGGAGAACGGAAUUCCUGGUGUAGCGGUGAAAUGCGCAGAUAUCAGGAGGAACACCGGUGGCGAAGGCGACUACCUGGCCUGUUUCUUGACGCUGAGGCGCGAAAGCUAGGGGAGCAAACGGG